AACGAACGCUGGCGGCAUGCCUAACACAUGCAAGUCGAACGAGACCUUCGGGUCUAGUGGCGCACGGGUGCGUAACGCGUGGGAACCUGCCCUUAGGUUCGGAAUAACUCCCCGAAAGGGGUGCUAAUACCGGAUAAUGUCUUCGGACCAAAGAUUUAUCGCCUUUGGAUGGGCCCGCGUUGGAUUAGCUAGUUGGUAGGGUAAAAGCCUACCAAGGCGACGAUCCAUAGCUGGUCUGAGAGGAUGAUCAGCCACACUGGGACUGAGACACGGCCCAGACUCCUACGGGAAGCAGCAGUGGGGAAUAUUGGACAAUGGGCGAAAGCCUGAUCCAGCAAUGCCGCGUGAGUGAUGAAGGCCUUAGGGUUGUAAAGCUCUUUUACCCGGGAUGAUAAUGACAGUACCGGGAGAAUAAGCUCCGGCUAUCUCCGUG
Molecule: ribosomal RNA, 433 nt
Filed under: uncultured bacterium
Lineage: Bacteria
Description: partial 16S ribosomal RNA
Rfam family: Bacterial small subunit ribosomal RNA
Source: RNAcentral